ACAACUUGCAUUUUGUGUUAGUUUCUUAUUUACAACUUCUACUCAUCUUACUAAUAAUGUGGAAGCAUUAAUCUGAAGUUAUGUUGAUAUCAUAGAUAAGUUCUCCAUAUCUUAAUUGUAUAACAUAUGGGUUUUAUUUAUUGAAAUCAAAGUACCACUCUUGGCCCAUUCUCUCCCCCUUUUCACUCUCCUCUUCCUUCAAAGGUUCAUUGUGAUACUACUUCGUUAAGAGGAUAUCACUGACUCACUAUAUUGGAAAAAGGGACCAAAAAACAUGUAUACAUGAGUAGACUCCUACUACAACAACAAUCAAGCCUUUAUCCCACUAGGUGGAGUCGGCUACAUGUUUCUUGACAAAUCAUUGAUCUCUAAGUCUUUCUUAAUCAUUUCUCCGAUGAUUCUUCUUGGUCUCCCUCUUCCUCUAGGAAUUGGACUAGCCUCCACUUGAUCUACUGUCCUUAUAGGAGCUUUGUCGGACACGGGCAGACUAUUGAAUCUAGAAAUUCAAGUAAAGGAGGAACUUGAAGUAGAUUUUCUAAACCAUGUACUUGAUUUAUCAGAUCUUUUAGCUCCCAUUACCUCAAAAGAUAAUGAUAGCCUCCGAUUUUUGUUGUUACGAAAUUUUCAAGAUUACCGUGUAUAAUACACAUUUAUCUACUUUAUCAUUCAAUGGUAAUAGGCUGUAACUUUAUCAUCUGACACUGAAAUGUUUUUCUUCUUUAUAGGUUGUUUUCUGCAUUACUUGUAACCUAAAGGUUUAGAUGCUAAAAUGGCAACUUGUAAAAAAUUGAGGACCAGAAUCUUUGCUAGUUAGGUUUAGGAUUAGUUUUCCUGAGAGAAAAAGGUAGCUUAGAAUUAAAAAUAUUCCUUUUUCAUUAUGCUGCUGUUUGAUGUUUUUAUCAUUACUGCUAAAUCCUCCCCUGGAAUACAGUCAUGUGGAUUUAUGUUCCUUUAUUAGCCCUCUGAAAGAAUUUUGCUUUGAAACAACCAUAGACAGUGCAUGUGAAAUUGAGUGUUUCUAUGUAGUACAUCUAUGAUGUAAAGUAACAUGACCAAACCUUUCUUUUUCGUAAAAAAAUCAGGACAAAGGGAGAAUUGCAAGGACAGGCGACUUAUCUCUGGAAGCAGUUAUUGAGGAUGACGGAUAUGAAACCGUCUCUGCUUUAACUUUGUGCAGCUAGUAUUGGUAUCCUCUCUGACUGUUGAAAAAUUGUUUUGUGCAAGAUUCAAUUUAAAGUAACUUCUUGUUUGUUUCAUGUUGUGGAUAUUUGCUUGACUUUUACAUAUAAAAUCGUGAUUGGGAAUUUAUAAUAACAUAUAAAUAAGUUGAAUGAUGAGUAAAAUUUUCUUUAAGCUACUAAUGACAGACCUCUUCUGCUUUGAUUUCAGUAUGUUUGCUACAAAUGUAGAUGACAGAGUAUUGCACUGGGCUGCAUUUAGUAGUUGCAUCUUUUGGAACUUUCUUCCUUAUGUUCAACUUUGGAAAUUGAUUGCUUCACCCCUGGAAAAUGUCGUUCAACGUUAUCUAUGUAAACUUGAUAUAGUUGCAUUUUUUGCAAGAAUAACAGUUAUUGACCCUAAGCCCGAUAAAGUGUUAUUUAUAUUUUAUAUACACUCAUACUUGAUAAUGGUUAAUAUUACUGAAUUCAUACUGUGUCCUCUAAUUUUUUAGCAUAGAGCUUGCAAUGUUGAGAAUAUGGUGUGGCACUUGUCAACUAAAUAUUUAAUCUUUUAUUUAUCAGCCUAAUAUUUUAUAGGUUCAAACUGGAGUUUCUGCAUCAACAUCACUACCGAUAAUAGCAGAUUUUUUCUUCAGGAUAGAUUCUUGAGUUCAGCCUGCACUACCUGGUAAUAUUCAUUCAUUUGAGUUUCAAAAGGCUUCGUUCCAAAUUUUAAGCAAUGCAUUUGCUGAGAUAUUGUUAUUCCAAAACAUUAGAGCAUAUGCACCCGUGAACAAGAAAAUUGUUCUUAAAUGGGUCUAACUGCUAAUUUUAUAAUUGUUAACACUUCCCUACAGUUUAAGCAACUCAAGCAAAAAUUACUCCAGCCAUGAACUUUUACCUAUCGUUAUUAAAUGGACCUCACACUCUAUUUUUUCUUUACUUUUCUUCUAUACUUUUAUUAAGAACAAGUUGUGAAAUAAGAACACAUAAGGACUUUUCUCAUAGUGGUAAACAACAUGAUGAACAUUCUUAAAAACUUAAGAACCCAUGGGUGUGGGUGCUCUUACAGUUUUUACAUUGUUUCUUACUACAGAUUGUUUAAUUGCUAAUGGUUGGGUAUAAUAUAUUUGACUAAGCUGAAUGAAGCAAAUAGUAGUUAGGUCCUUCAAACAUUGCUUCAUGUUAUCAAGCAGCUUACUGCCAAGUUAGGCUGAGUCAUUUGUUUAAGAAAAAUUGUCAAAUUGUUAGUGUCACCUUGGUGUAAGACCUUUUCCAGGCCUCUCAAUUUGUGGGCAUGUUCUAAUUGUGUACAAGCUUUGGUCUAUAUUUUAAACCUUAUAGAUUAUUUUGAGAUUGGGUAGGAAAGUAUUAAUGUAUUGUACAUUUUGAUUAAUUUAUCAUUACUUGAUAAAGCAAAGCUUUCUAAAAUGUGAGUAUUUUGUGUUGCAGAUAAGUGUGUUAUGGUAAAGCUGUUGCACUAAUCAUUCUGAUGUCUCCUUUCAAUUUUAUUUCCCAAUUCUCUUAGCUGCAUUUUGAAAAUGUAGAAGCAGCAAAUGCAGAUAUUGAUGUUUCAUCACUUGGGACAUAUUCUUCCAGGCAUUUUUACAGUAGGCUUUGAUAGCAAAAUACAUAACUGUAGCAUGCAGAUUCUCAAGUUUUUAGCUUGUGUUUCUUUUUAUUUAUAUAUAUUAAGGAUUUUUUCAGUGCUAAUUAUCAC
RNAcentral lists this long non-coding RNA (2880 nucleotides) under Lupinus mutabilis. Its description in RNAcentral is "partial ncRNA". The record is from RNAcentral. Lineage: Eukaryota; Viridiplantae; Streptophyta; Magnoliopsida; Fabales; Fabaceae.